RNAcentral lists this small nuclear RNA (22 nucleotides) under Arabidopsis thaliana (thale cress). Its description in RNAcentral is "snRNA_02758". The record is from RNAcentral. Lineage: Eukaryota; Viridiplantae; Streptophyta; Magnoliopsida; Brassicales; Brassicaceae.
AUUAGUCCUCUCGGUAUAAGUC